RNA transcript from Homo sapiens (human), 9624 nucleotides. It is a transcript of the gene named centrosomal protein 63, with no coding region annotated. The transcript has 14 exons. Lineage: Eukaryota; Metazoa; Chordata; Mammalia; Primates; Hominidae. The record is from RefSeq and is marked reviewed.
AGUCCCUCGGCCUGGCCCGCUAUGCCCUGCACACUGGCGGAGUCUGGCGUGGCGCAGCCCGGCGUGGGGUUCGGCCCCGCCAGGUGGUCAGCCCUUCCUCGGAGUCCAGGUGGCUGGGGGCGCUUCGGAGAGUGGCCAGGUGGGCGAGCGAGCUGCGCCCAGUACUCACCUUCCCCGGCGGACCCACCUUCCUUUUCAGCGGAGAGACCCCAGUGCGGCCUCCCUGCCAGGGCUGCUGUCUAGCUAGCGCUGUUGGGACUACUUCAUUCACGGCACAAGGGGACCCGCUCAUUUAGUGUGGCAUGUUAAGUUGCCAAAACAAAGGGGAUUUGGUGAUGGAGGCUUUGUUAGAAGGAAUACAAAAUCGAGGGCAUGGUGGGGGAUUUUUGACAUCUUGUGAAGCAGAACUACAGGAGCUCAUGAAACAGAUUGACAUAAUGGUGGCUCAUAAAAAAUCUGAAUGGGAAGGACGUACACAUGCUCUAGAAACUUGCUUGAAAAUCCGUGAACAGGAACUUAAGAGUCUUAGGAGUCAGUUGGAUGUGACACAUAAGGAGGUUGGAAUGUUGCAUCAGCAGGUAGAAGAACAUGAAAAAAUCAAGCAAGAGAUGACCAUGGAAUAUAAGCAGGAGUUGAAGAAACUACAUGAAGAAUUAUGCAUACUGAAGAGAAGCUAUGAAAAGCUUCAGAAAAAGCAAAUGAGGGAAUUCAGAGGAAAUACCAAAAAUCACAGGGAAGAUCGGUCUGAAAUUGAGAGGUUAACUGCAAAAAUAGAGGAAUUCCGUCAGAAAUCGCUGGACUGGGAGAAGCAACGCUUGAUUUAUCAGCAACAGGUAUCUUCACUGGAGGCACAAAGGAAGGCUCUGGCUGAACAAUCAGAGAUAAUUCAGGCUCAGCUUGUCAAUCGGAAACAGAAAUUAGAGUCUGUGGAACUUUCUAGCCAAUCAGAAAUUCAACACUUAAGCAGUAAACUGGAGCGGGCUAAUGACACUAUCUGUGCCAAUGAGUUGGAAAUAGAGCGCCUCACCAUGAGGGUCAAUGACUUGGUUGGAACCAGUAUGACUGUCCUACAGGAGCAGCAGCAAAAAGAAGAAAAAUUGAGGGAAUCUGAAAAACUAUUAGAGGCUCUGCAGGAAGAAAAGAGAGAAUUGAAGGCAGCUCUUCAGUCUCAAGAAAAUCUCAUACAUGAGGCCAGAAUACAAAAGGAGAAGUUACAAGAAAAAGUAAAGGCAACUAACACUCAACAUGCUGUAGAAGCUAUAAGUUUGGAAUCUGUGAGUGCAACGUGUAAACAGCUGAGCCAAGAACUAAUGGAAAAAUAUGAAGAACUGAAGAGGAUGGAAGCACAUAACAAUGAAUACAAAGCAGAGAUUAAGAAGUUGAAAGAACAGAUUUUACAGGGUGAACAAAGUUACAGUUCUGCACUAGAAGGAAUGAAGAUGGAAAUCUCCCAUCUAACUCAGGAGUUACAUCAGCGAGAUAUCACUAUUGCUUCCACCAAAGGUUCUUCCUCAGACAUGGAAAAGCGACUCAGAGCAGAGAUGCAAAAGGCAGAAGACAAAGCAGUAGAGCAUAAGGAGAUUUUGGAUCAGCUGGAGUCACUCAAAUUAGAAAAUCGUCAUCUUUCUGAAAUGGUGAUGAAAUUGGAAUUGGGUUUACAUGAGGUAUUGCCUCCAGCACACUGUUUACAUUCCUACUGUGUCUCAGCAUCUGUUCUCCUGGGAAUAGAACUGGUCCACCUGAACAUAUGAUCUGUGCUGCUGUUGGUGCAGGAGGACAGGAGGGAAAUAAGCUGGAAGCCAUGGAUGUGGAGAGUCUGGCUUCAAGAUGGAGCUUGUUUACCUGCAGGGCCCCAUGCAGAACCUCAUGAGACGUGACUUCAGAGGCCUCCUCUCUGAAGGUGAGGGAGGCGUCAGCUGUUCAGAGAGAGAGGCUGCCUUGCCUGGGGACACACAGCUAGCCAGUGGCCGGAGCAGCAGUGGAUGCAGUUGUCCUGAUGCAUAGUUCAAGAAGCUUUUUUUUUUUUUUUUUUUUUCACGUGUGAAAACAUCUAUUGGGAAAAUGGAAAAAUCAUUUGACCUCAUAUUCCUCAUAGCUGACAUGACCUACAGGGAACGAAGAAGAAGGUUAAACGAGGACAAGAAGCUCUGAAGGCACCAUCCUCCACAUUGACAGAACCAUCUGGAGCAUGAAUUUGGGGAGAGCUUGGUUCUGAGACAGCGCUGCUCAGUCCCAUGCAGACACCAGCCCUGCUCCCUGCUCCGAUCAGAGUCAUAAGCCACGAUUCAUGCUGUUAAGAGCAAUUUUCAUUCUUAACCUUUCUGGUAUGUCUCUUCCUGAUCAGUUUGUCAGCCACUCCCUUUCUCAAAGUAUUUCUGUUCAUGACACCUUAAUUGAUUUUCCAUAUUUUUCUGUCCAGAGCUCAUUAAAAUCUCAUCUUCUUGCAUAUAAUAAUGUGCAAGUGUGGGAAGCACUGCUUUCCAAAUUUCGGGUACUUUGAAUUUUGGAGUCUUUACACUCCAUGGCAUUCUUGGCCCUUUGCUGGGGAGGGAGAUGAUGAAGAUCAAUCUGUCUUUCACCACCACUUCCAAAAUAUCCUGGGCAAUGCCAAGAGAGGUAUCCAGUGGCACAUGAGAGCGCAUGGAGAGAUUACCUCUUUAACCUAGCCAAGUGUUGAUUACCCAGCUAUUGAAAUGCCCCUUGCAUAUUCCUCGAUCCGCCCCUCUCUCUGACGUAAACAAGGUGUCCUCUGCAGGUGAGGCUUCAGUGUCUGCUCCAUACCAGUCACCUCCUUCUGUGCAGAAUUCUGCAUUUCCAUUUCCAUGAACUCACAUAGUCUUCACAAUAGCCCAAAGGUGGGCUGAUGCCUUUAAACCCAUUUUACUGACAGAGAAAGAAAGGAUUGAGAAAUCGGUGCACACAGUUCCCCAGUAGCUUCUGGAUGGGCCCAGUCCUCCCCUCAAGCCUAAUGUGCUUGCCAUUCUGCACGUUUCAGUGAAAAGGCAUUUUUCCAGGAGCAGGCUGAAAUGUGGGCCAGCCACUCGCAGGGCUUAGGCAGUGAGUGCUCCUAGUGGUGGGAGCCCCGAGAGAGGACCUCUCCUGGUGGUUCAAGAUUGUCUGAUCAGGUGGUGAGGAGGAACACAGAAAAGGGCUUUGGAGGAUCUGAACAAAACCACGAAUGAGCUAAGAGCAGCCUUUUGAUUAUUACUGUCGACCCCCAGGGGCCUGGCGGGAGGAUGUUGGUGUUCAUCGUCCCAAGCAGGAGUUGCCCAGUGGCCUGGAUCCCAGGGGGCAUGCGGGAGAUUUUUCAGUGUCAGUGCAGACUCCAGCCUUGCCUGUCCCCGGGGCAGAGCUUCUAAUAGGAGCCACGGGUAUUUUUAGUCUCACGUGUGCAGGCACAGGACAAGGCGAGCUGGACAGGAACAGCUAAUAAGCCGCGGUCCUUAUUAAGUUGGAAAGGAUGAAAUGAGGGGAUGAGGGGGAGCCUGGUGGAACUUUUCACACGUCUCAUUUUCAGAGAACUCUCUUUCCAUAAUUCACAGAGAAAUAUUGAGGUCAGGGUGAUUAUGCACAGGCCCAGUGGCAGAAGCCUGAAAGUGGGGCAUGUUCAAUUCCUGUGGCCUGCCGGUCCCCUCCCCACAGGGCUCUGCUCUGCCCUCCGGGCAAGGAGGUUGCGAUGGAGGGAUGAGCGGCUUUGGGGCUUGGCUGUCAAGGCUCCUGGGGUGGUGUGGGGGCUUUGAAAAGGACUAAAUUAGAAACUGGUUCCUAAUAUGAUAUGCAAAGCCACAGGGGAUAGUUGAGUGGUAUCAACUAUUAUCCUGAGUUCAUAGAUGAGGAAAUAGAGGCUCAGGGAGGUGUGGGACUUGGUAAGGUCACGUAGUUCAGAAGUGGCAGAGCUAGGAUUCACACUCAGUGUCCUAGACCAAGGUCUAUCAUUAUUUGCCCCCAAGGAUAGGCAGUUGUGUGUAAGACCCAUUGUUCAUUUUACUUAACUCACAAACAUCUUUUUUUUCUAUGCCAACUCUGUAUCAGGAACUUUAUCACUGGAAUGGGGCAGUGAGGAUGAUACAAUUCCUGCUCUCAAGGAGCUCUCGAUUUAGUGAGGGCAACAUAGCAUCAACUCCCAGCUGGACUUUGGUGCAGUGAGUGUGCAAGCUUGUCCUGUGGGCAAAGCAGACUGGGAAGUGAAAUUGGCAGAUUUCCAAUCUUUGGUGUUGAGUGUGAGGACAGUCAGGUCUCCACUAGUACAGUCCAUUUUCCUUCUGUAUGGCCUCUUCUGAGGUUGAGACUGGAGAGUGGGCUAGGAAGGGGCAAGUAAGUCCUCAGCCCCUUUCUGGGCCCUGCGGCUCUAAGCAUUGUGAUGCUUGGAGUCUGUGGCAGGAGUCCCUUAGUGAGGAUAUGGGCAAGGCUGGAAUGCAGGUAGCACACGGGACUGGCUGUUGUCAGCUACCCACUUCCUCACCACCCCCAUCUUUAUGGUUUGAGAGCAAUGGGAGAGAGAAUGAAAAUUGUGAUUUGGGAGUGAAAACAUUUUAGUGAGUUUCUUGCAGCCUUCCUGCCCAGCCCAAAGCCAGCCAUGGCAUAUGUGCUUCUGUCCAUCUAUUUAUCCCUCCACUCCACCGCAUACUUGAGCACCAUGCUCUUUCAUAUCCAUCCAUCCACUCCAUCUAUCCGAUCCAUCCCACUUAGCUAUUCCUUCCAUUGAAACCUAGACACCACUGUGCAAACCAUCAGCCAACCCCACCUUUCUGUUCCUUCCGCCUAAUAUGCUUUGUCCAUUCACCCAUUCUUUAUUCAUUCAGUUACCCCCCUCCCCCAUUCCCAUCCAAUUACGAUUCCUUCAUUCCAUCUGUAAUCAACACUAUGUUCUAGGACUGUGUCUGAUGUUGUGGGGACACACAGAUGAACGAAUCUCUCUCAUGUAGUUGACCUAGAAGAUAGUGUGUAGAUCCACUUAUGAAGAUAACAAUGGAAUUGAAGAGGGUCCCAAGAGAAGAAACACAAAGAAUCUGGAUGAAGGGGAAGAGACAGAGCUGAAUGACGAGCAAUUGAAAUGCUUGGCACUCUCCUUUCUGGGAAGAUAUUAUGAAAAGAGAGAGAAAGAGGAUAAAGGGGAAAAAGGGAAGGAAGACAGGAAGGCUGGAAGGCUGGAAGGCAGGAGGCAGGAAGGAAGAGGGGAAGGAAGGAAGGAGUAGGGAAAGAAGGUGCUAUGGGAUGAAUAUUUGUGCCCCCCCCCUCAAAUUCAUAUGUUGAGAUCCUAACUUCUAAGGUGAUAAUAUCAAGAGGUGGAGGCUUUGGGAAGUGAUUAAGUCAUAAGGCUGGAUCCCUCACAGAUAGAAUUAGUGCCCUUGUAAAAGCAGUUCGAAAAACCUUCUUUGAUCCUUCCGCCAUGUGAGAACAUAGCAAGAAGGUGCCGGCUGGGCAUGGUGGCUCAUGCCUGUAAUCCCAGCACUGCGGAGGCCGAGGUGGGUAGAUCACCUGAGGUCAGGAGUUCGAGACCAGCUGGGCCAACAGGGUGAAACCCUGUCUCUACUACAAAUACAAAAAUUAGCUGGGUGUGGUGAUGCAUGCUGGUAAUCCCAGCUACCCAGGAGGCUGAGGUAGGAGAAUUGCUUGAACUCAGGAGGCAGAGCUUGCAGUGAGCCAAGAUCACGCCAUUGCUCUCUAGCCUGGGAGACAGAGUGAGACUUCAUCUCAAAAAAGAAAAAAAAAAAAAGAAGGUGCUGUCUUUGAACCAGGAAGUGUGCUCUCAACAAACACAGAAUUUGCUGCCACCUUCAUCUUGGAUUUCCCAUUGUCUAGAGCUGUAAGAAAUAAAUUUCUGUUGUCUAUAAGCCACCCAGUUAAUGGUAUUUUGUAAUAGCAGCCCAAAUGAACUAAGACAGUGGUAAAGAAGGAAGAAAAAAUAUGUAUUGGAUGCCCACUCUAUGCUGGGCCCUAUGCUAGAUGCCUUCACAAUCUUAAUCAUCCCAACAACCUUUUGAGGUGGUUAGUUGCCUGCAUUUUAGAGAUGAGGAACUGGGCUCCGAGAAGGCAGCUAUUCAGCAUGAAUAAAACACAAAGAACAGGGCUAGUUCAAAUAUGUUUGCUAAUACAGAGCAUCAGAGUGGAGUUUGAAGCAAACAUGUCUAGGACAAUUGAAAAGCAUGCCACUUGACAGAUAGCGUCUGGGCUGUGCUGCCUGAAGGUGUACGUGGAUAGCAACCACAAAGUCUAUCACUCAGUGAGAAGGAGGUGGUGGGCAUGCACAGCUAUUGGAGUCUGAUGCCAGGUUGUGCCUGUUUGACAGGGAACUAAACCAUCCCUUGGCAGCUGUAUCAGAUCCAGGGUCCUACUGGAGGAUUCCUGACCCUGGGCUCUCUGGCCAGAAUUUGCCAGGUACCCUCAGUCCAGAUCUGUGGGCAUUCACACAGCCAGUUUAAUGUCCAGCUUCGCUUUUCUGAUCCAGGAUCUCCUCUUGGGGAUGGGGAUGGAGGUAGAGCAGAACCCCAGAGAGGAGAGGUCAGCUUUGCCUCUCACUGCUAAUGCUUCAGCCAGGGCUCCAUGUGCCCCAGAUACAGGCCCCUCUGGCACCCAGGAUGUGCACAGUUUUCUGCGGGUACAUCAUUCCUGGCACUUUCUAGGUCCACCCCGUGCUCAUUGCUUGGUACCACCAAACUGUCCCCUGACUGUUCUGAUGAGUCUCUGAGGACUAUUGAUUGACAGUCGCUGUCCCAUGGCUGAAGUAUUCACAAAUGUUUAGGUAGGUGGCUCAAGUAACCAAGAGCUCUAGUAACAUCCCAGGGUGAAGGGCUUGGUUGGGGUGAGGCAGAUCAGCAGAUCACUAGACAGAUGCCUUCUCACUGCUGCAGAGCCUGUGGAGUAAGGAUAAGGCAGAGGCUGGGGGAGAGUGUCAGUGUUAAUUAGAUAUUCUAGAAUCAUAGAGCUCUCAUUCACGUGAGCCCUGCUGCUGCCCACAAACCCCGGGGGCCUUCUAUUCUCUGAAGUCAGUCUGUCCGUCUGCUCAGAAACCUACUUGGCUUUGUCUUUGCCAAUUCCAGAGAGCAGCAUUUGGGGGAAAGGGAGUGCAGGUUCUCAAGUCCUGGUGCUGGGUCCAGUGGAUCAUUCCCUGGCAUGCGGGGCCCCAGAGGGGCCAGGAAGGAGGGAUAUGGGGAUGGGGAGAGUGGCUGCACCAGGCCUGAGUUACCUCAGCUGUCCUUCCUCUCCAGCUUUCCUCUUGGCAUGGCGGGGCUGCCCACUGGCCAGCUCAGCUGUCCUCCUUGCUCACCAUGUAAUCCCUGCCAGGAAGAGAGGAGGGAAAUCUGAGCCAGGCCUUCUCCCACUGCAUCCUGCCAUCCUGUCCUCCCUACAGCCAGAAGGGAGGGUAGGAUGGGGUGGGGACAGGGAAGAGCAGGGCUUGGGGAGAGCUUCUAGGCCUAGCUGCUGCUGGGCUGCUGCAGGGGUGGGCGGACUGUGGGGUGUGUGGGAACCACAAGACUCGGGCCUUCCCUCUGGAGCCUGCACCUAGGGGCUGCUCUGGCCUCCUCCGGCAUCUGGACACCUGUUAGGCUGAUUCAAUUUACCGCCUGCUCUUUGCUUCCCUGUGUCUUGGAGAGCCCCUACUGGGUAUUUUUAUUUUCAUCCUAAAAAGGCCGUCUAGGAACCAGGGAGUUGAAGUCCCAGCAUUCCCAAGUGAGUCACAGCUUCAGCCUCCUUAUCUGUAACCCAGCAGCAAUCACACCCUCUGUCCAAGGUGGAAGGCAAAAUGAGGCAAUGCAGAGUGUGCCCUCAGCACACAGCCAGGCACACAGUAGUGACUGCUCACAAGCAGCACCAGCCCAAACCUGAACCUAGGACACAAGCGCAGACAUGCAGCCCUGUGGCUGACCUCACACUCGGGGCUUCUCUGGCAUUUGGGAUGGGAAGAGCAAGGACAGAGACAGCCCUCUGUGCAUGUACCUCACUCUGGGAUCUCAGAUACAUCAGGGUGGUGAUGUGCGCACAGGUGUUUGUGUGGGGUGGCUCUCUAUGGCAAGGAUGGGGCCAUUUGUUUGCGUUUUCCUAGAACAGCCUACCUCCUGGCACAUGACAGGUGUUUCUUUAAGCAGUUUUGUGUGUGUGUGUGUGUGUGUUUGUGUGUGUAAACAAGCCAUUCGAACUUUAGCUACCCUACUAGUACCAUGGAAUGUUGGAAGAGUCUUUUCAUUUUUUUGGGCCCUGGUUUUCUCAUCUGAGUAAUGGGUAUAUUGAUUCCUGCCUGAAGCUGCUGCUCUGAAUUCAGCACUGGCUUGCUGCAUGGCCUGCAGUAAAUAAAGGGUUCCUUGACAUCUGUUUCCCCUAUCCCCCAGUGAAGAUAUUUUUCUCAGGUUGCUUUGGAGUCUGACCCAGGAAGAAGAGAAGGAAAUGGUGGGAGCAACAGGGGCAGGGGAGGGAGCUCUGGCUUCUCAGCAGACACUCGCAUGCUCUGUAGACUGAGGUGGGCAGAGCCACCCUCAGGUCAGGUGCACAAGGCCACUUCUGGUCCCACCCUGUAGGUCUGGGAGAAGUCCGGCAGGGGCUUCAGGGCACUCCAGACUGGCUUCUUCUCCCCAUCUCCUGAUAUGAAGGGGAUUGGGCUGGGGGAAUGGGUCCAGGGCAUCUACACUGCUGUGACCACUUCCUCUCAGUGAGAAAGGUCAGGGCUGGCCUGGUGUCCAUGGGGGACUCCUACCUCCUGGUGCUGCCCCUGGAUCUGGGGAAAGGCUACUGCAUGCAAGGCUCCUCCCACCCCAUCCAGUUCCCUGAGGCCAGGCUUCUGGCCCCUGGAGUGGCUGUUGCACAAGCAAGGUGGGAGCCUGGCCUGUUUCAAGGUUACCCAAGGCAGGCGGGCCCAGGGCUGGGCUUGGACCUGGAUCACAGUGGUGACAGCAACCUGUUUGUGACAGUACAGUUUGCACUCCCCAGGUGGUCGCUGAAAAGCCACCACUGAGGGAGGGGCCUCCGUGAUGAAAAGGGGCCUCUGGCCAAGGCCUGACAGCCAUCUGUUCCCGGCCGCCAGCCCGGAGUCCUCCAGGAAGGGUGAAGACAGGGGAAGAGAGAGAGGGGAAACAGAGGACACACACACACACACACACACACACACACACACACACACACACACACACAGAGAGAGAGAGAGAGAGAGAGACAGGGACAGAGCGAGACAGACAGAGACAUUGAGAGACAGACAAACAGACACAGAGACAUAGGGACAGACAGAGGAAGAAAGAACAGCAGAAAGGCAGAGAGACAAAUAUGGAGGAAAGAUAGCCAGAGGAAGGGAACAAAGACACUAAGAAUGAGGAUGAGAGAAGUCGAGGGGCAGAAAGAGACAGAGACCGAGACAUAGGGAAAGAAACAGAAGGACAGGAAAGUCAGAGAGAGACAAAGAAAGACAGAGAGAACAACAGAAACAGAAUGAAGGGAACCAAAGGGAUCAAGAGACAGAGAGAGUGAGACAGGGAGAGAUGAGAGAGAGACAGAGAGACAAGGAAAUUCCCUGAGACAGAUUGAGAGGGUGCUUGUGCGCUGGCUGGCAUCAAAGUGAGGGUAGAGAGACAAAGUCCUGGGCAAGCUCUCUGAUGGAAGGAGGACCCUCAUGAGCCAAAUCCCUUCCAGCCUCAGCAC